UUUCUGUUGGUGAACCUGCGGAAGGAUCAUUCAUAAUAAGUAUUUUAUGGCACUUUUUUAAAUCCAUAUCCACCUUGUGUGCAAUGUCAGGGUUGGUCUCUUUUGAUCAGCCCCAAACAUCAACUAUUAUCUCAACUCUUUGUCUGAAAAAUAUUAUGAAUAAAACAAUUCAAAAUACAACUUUCAACAACGGAUCUCUUGGCUCUC
Molecule: unclassified non-coding RNA, 207 nt
Filed under: plant metagenome
Description: partial contains small subunit ribosomal RNA, internal transcribed spacer 1, and 5.8S ribosomal RNA
Source: RNAcentral